UGCAUCUUUUAUAUUUUCUUCUUUGGAAGAAAAAAAUUAAAAAAAAUGGAAAAAGGAAGAAUGAAAGGUUAGAGUUGUGAUGAUAUUUAUUUCUUUUUUCUUUAUAAAUAUAUAUUUUUUCUUUCUAUUUUUCUGCUGCUAUUCUCUGACAUAAUUUAUAAUUAUUCUAUCAA
RNAcentral lists this non-coding RNA (173 nucleotides) under Aureoumbra lagunensis. Lineage: Eukaryota; Pelagophyceae; Sarcinochrysidales; Sarcinochrysidaceae. The record is from RNAcentral.